RNAcentral lists this ribosomal RNA (897 nucleotides) under Beltraniella portoricensis. RNAcentral describes it as "LSU rRNA". It matches the Rfam family "Eukaryotic large subunit ribosomal RNA", at positions 36 to 961 of the family's 3401-position model. Lineage: Eukaryota; Fungi; Ascomycota; Sordariomycetes; Amphisphaeriales; Beltraniaceae. The record is from RNAcentral.
AAGCAUAUCAAUAAGCGGAGGAAAAGAAACCAACAGGGAUUCCCCUAGUAACGGCGAGUGAAGCGGGAACAGCUCAAAUUUGAAAUCUGGCCUUCGGGUCCGAAUUGUAAUUUGCAGAGGAUGCUUUUGGUUAGGUACUUUCCGAGUUCCCUGGAACGGGACGCCUUAGAGGGUGAGAGCCCCGUACGGUUGGAUACCGAGCCUGUGUAAAGCUCCUUCGACGAGUCGAGUAGUUUGGGAAUGCUGCUCUAAAUGGGAGGUAAAUUUCUUCUAAAGCUAAAUACCGGCCAGAGACCGAUAGCGCACAAGUAGAGUGAUCGAAAGAUGAAAAGCACUUUGAAAAGAGGGUUAAAUAGCACGUGAAAUUGUUGAAAGGGAAGCGUUUAUGACCAGACUUUUUCCAGGCGGAUCAUCCGGUGUUCUCACCGGUGCACUUCGUCUGGUUGAGGCCAGCAUCGGUUUUCGUAGAGGGAUAAAAGCAGUAGGAAUGUGGUUCCUCCGGGAAUGUUAUAGCCUAUUGUAUAAUACCUUUAUGGGGACCGAGGUUCGCGCUCUGCAAGGAUGCUGGCGUAAUGGUCAUCAACGACCCGUCUUGAAACACGGACCAAGGAGUCGAACAUUUGUGCGAGUGUUUGGGUGUUAAACCCUCACGCGUAAUGAAAGUGAACGGAGGUGAGAGCCCUUACGGGUGCAUCAUCGACCGAUCCUGAUGUUUUCGGAUGGAUUUGAGUAAGAGCAUAACUGUUCGGACCCGAAAGAUGGUGAACUAUGCGUGGAUAGGGUGAAGCCAGAGGAAACUCUGGUGGAGGCUCGCAGCGGUUCUGACGUGCAAAUCGAUCGUCAAAUCUGCGCAUGGGGGCGAAAGACUAAUCGAACCAUCUAGUAGCUGGUUACGGC